This 724-nucleotide long non-coding RNA is filed under the name Glycine max (soybean). RNAcentral's name for it is "long non-coding RNA (GMAX_LNC000106)". Lineage: Eukaryota; Viridiplantae; Streptophyta; Magnoliopsida; Fabales; Fabaceae. The record is from RNAcentral.
CAGACUUGGUGAUGGUGCUGGUGUUGUGUCUGAUUCUGCUGUGGAAUCAGGUGGUGCCGGGGGACUUUUGCGAACAAUUGUUGGUGCUGGAGCUGGUGCCUGAUGCCUCCUGUGCCUGUGCCUGUGCCUUCUAUGCUUAUGUGACGAUGGCGCCGGUGCUGGUACCUCUACUACCGGCGUUGGUGCCAAUGUUGGUGGUGGAGGAACAGGAGCUGGAGUUGGUGCUGGCUUUGUAGGUGCAGGAGCGGGUGCUGGUGUUGCCUUUGCUGGUGCAGGUGCAGGGGGUGUUUUGGCUGGUGUUGGAGCUAUCUUUGGUGGUGGCAAUGGCGGUGGCGUAGAAACGGGUGGUGGAGGUAUCGGGGGUGGCGAUGUGGGAGUUACAACUGGUGAUACUUUUGGUGGUUGUGGUUGUGGAGUUUGGGGUGGUGGGGCUUUUGGGCUUGAAGCAGGUGCAACUUUUGGAGCUGGUGGUGUCACAGGUGCGGGUUUGGGAGCUACAAUUGCAGGUGGCUGGGAUGUAGUUGGUGGUGUACUUGUGGUGGGAGGGGAUGCCACCACUGUUGGUGGUAGUGUUACCGCCAGUGGCGUGCCGGAAGAUGGUGAUGUUGCAGCUGGGGUUGUAGGUGGUGAGUUUGCCGGCGCAGUUGCAGGUGCUUGGGCAUUGGAAGGUAGCUGGCCACAGAGGCUUACCAAAGCCAAAGCCCAGAACACUGCAGCCAUUGUA